UUUCAUCAUCCUCCCUCAAAUCUUUGCUAAAACAAAAGUUAUGAUAAAGAAAAGUGAAUGGGAGAAAUAAUGAUGUAUUUUUUGUUUUUGAUAUAAGAGAAGAAAAAUGAGCGAAUGCGAGAUAAUUAAUUCAAAACAUGCAUCAUUACUUCAUCAAUAUUACCAUUAAAAACAACAAUGUUUAAACACAAGCAACUUUUAACAACAAAGAAACUACAAAUGCAAAAAUAGAAACAAAUCAGUCCAACGAUUGCCAGUGUUGAGGAUGUCUUCCUUUCUGAACAGUAUAGUACAGUAGAGUUAUCAACUGGGGUUUGCACAAGCUGAGGUUGGGUAAGACCAUUUACUGUAGCUAGCAUAACAUUCUCAACAACUGCAGUCUGCUGAAUGUUG
Molecule: long non-coding RNA, 393 nt
Filed under: Lathyrus oleraceus (garden pea)
Lineage: Eukaryota; Viridiplantae; Streptophyta; Magnoliopsida; Fabales; Fabaceae
Description: Pisum sativum (pea) long non-coding RNA (PSAT_LNC041399)
Source: RNAcentral